This 454-nucleotide ribosomal RNA is filed under the name uncultured bacterium. RNAcentral's name for it is "bacterial SSU rRNA". It matches the Rfam family "Bacterial small subunit ribosomal RNA", at positions 71 to 518 of the family's 1533-position model. The record is from RNAcentral.
UGCGGGUAGCAAUACCUGUGAUGACGAGUGGCGGAUGGGUGCGUAACGCGUAUGCAACCUGCCCCUUAUUGGAGGAUAACGUUGUGAAAACGGCGAUAAUAUUCCAUGUGUACCCUGGGGGGCAUCCCUUGGGGUAUAAAGAUUCAUUGAUAAGGGAUGGGCAUGCGUAUCAUUAGGUAGUUGGCGGGGUAACGGCCCACCAAGCCGACGAUGAUUAGGGGUCCUGAGAGGGCAACCCCCCACACUGGAACUGAGACACGGUCCAGACUCCUACGGGAGGCAGCAGUAGGGAAUAUUGGGCAAUGGAGGCAACUCUGACCCAGCCAUGCCGCGUGAAGGAAGGGCCGGUCCUAUGGAUUGUAAACUUCUUUUGUUGCAGAGUAAAGGCGGGGACGCGUCCCCGUGUGAGAGUAUGCGAUGAAUAAGCAUCGGCUAACUCCGUGCCAGCAGCUGC